This 575-nucleotide ribosomal RNA is filed under the name Phenoliferia psychrophenolica. Its description in RNAcentral is "eukaryotic LSU rRNA". It matches the Rfam family "Eukaryotic large subunit ribosomal RNA", at positions 51 to 623 of the family's 3401-position model. Lineage: Eukaryota; Fungi; Basidiomycota; Microbotryomycetes; Kriegeriales; Kriegeriaceae. The record is from RNAcentral.
CGGAGGAAAAGAAACUAACAAGGAUUCCCCUAGUAACGGCGAGUGAAGCGGGAAGAGCUCAAAUUUGUAAUCUGGCACCUUCGGUGUCCGAGUUGUAAUCUCGAGAAGUGUUUUCCGCGCCGGACCGCAUACAAGUCUGUUGGAAUACAGCGUCAUAGUGGUGAGAACCCCGUAACUGAUGCGGAUGCCCGGUGCUUUGUGAUACACUUUCGAAGAGUCGAGUUGUUUGGGAAUGCAGCUCAAAUUGGGUGGUAAAUUCCAUCUAAAGCUAAAUAUUGGCGAGAGACCGAUAGCGAACAAGUACCGUGAGGGAAAGAUGAAAAGCACUUUGGAAAGAGAGUUAACAGUACGUGAAAUUGUUGGAAGGGAAACGCUUGAAGUCAGACUUGCUAUUUGGAAUUCAGCCGCAAGGUGUACUUUUCAAUUCGCAGGCCAGCAUCAGUUUUUGGGGGUGGAAAAGGGUAGAGAGAAGGUAGCAAUUUCGGUUGUGUUAUAGCUCUUUGCUGCAUUCAUCCUUGGGGACUGAGGAACGCAGCACGCUUUUUGCAAGGCUUUCGAGCUUUUCGUGCUUAGGA